RNAcentral lists this ribosomal RNA (253 nucleotides) under uncultured bacterium. RNAcentral's name for it is "partial 16S ribosomal RNA". It matches the Rfam family "Bacterial small subunit ribosomal RNA", at positions 524 to 776 of the family's 1533-position model. The record is from RNAcentral.
UACAGAGGGUGCGAGCGUUAAUCGGAAUUACUGGGCGUAAAGCGUGCGUAGACGGUUAUUUAAGUCGGGUGUGAAAGCCCCGGGCUCAACCUGGGAAUUGCAUUCGAGACUGAAUAGCUAGGGUACGGUAGAGGGAAGCGGAAUUUCCGGUGUAGCGGUGAAAUGCGCAGAUAUCAGGAGGAACACCAAUUGCGAAGGCAGCUCGCUGGGACGUUACUGACGCUGAGACGCGAAAGCGUGGGGAGCAAACAGG